UACUGUCCAAAGCGGUGCGGAUCUGGUC
Molecule: small RNA, 28 nt
Filed under: Bombyx mori (domestic silkworm)
Lineage: Eukaryota; Metazoa; Arthropoda; Insecta; Lepidoptera; Bombycidae
Description: ovarian small RNA-21554
Source: RNAcentral